Molecule: transfer RNA, 73 nt
Filed under: Candidatus Cloacimonadota bacterium
Lineage: Bacteria; Pseudomonadati; Candidatus Cloacimonadota
Also listed under: 3 other names
Description: Candidatus Cloacimonetes bacterium tRNA-Arg
Rfam family: tRNA
About the family: Transfer RNA (tRNA) molecules are approximately 80 nucleotides in length.
Source: RNAcentral
GCGCCCGUAGCUCAAAGGAUAGAGCAGCGGAUUCCGGUUCCGCAGGUUGCCCGUUCGACUCGGGUCGGGUGCG